RNAcentral lists this long non-coding RNA (38807 nucleotides) under Fragaria vesca (wild strawberry). RNAcentral describes it as "long non-coding RNA (FVES_LNC002212)". Lineage: Eukaryota; Viridiplantae; Streptophyta; Magnoliopsida; Rosales; Rosaceae. The record is from RNAcentral.
UGUACUCCUGUUCUUGAUAAAAAGACGUCCUUCUCUGAUAUUCUCCAUACUCUCUACCUUUGCCCGGCAGCAGUCAGCAGCACAGAUGUUGAGGUUGCAGGCAUUUUCAAUUCCCGACUACAAUCCAGUUACCUUUCCCUCUUCAUGCGUCAUUCCUAGCUCGCUUCAUCUUCACCGUCAGUCAGUAUCUUUUCCAACCACACGGACGCGUCUCCGGUCACUCCGCAUCGUCAGGAUAUGCAGCACUUCCCUUGCAGGCGAUUUCGGAGGUGGCAUAGGGUACUAUUACUUAAAAUCCUCUAGAAAUGUAUAUGUAAUGGAUAAAGUUCGUAGUUAAAUAUUCAGUUAUAUUCAGUUCUGUUAUUUGGGUUUAUGUUCUUGCUACCCAUGUUAAUUAAAGUCAUAAUAUUUGUGGUUGGUGGGUUUUGUUGUACCUUUCUUUUCAUCUCAUUUCCUGCAUUUUGGUGAGUGCAACAUUAAGAAGUGAUGAUGAUAGCAUCGGAUACUUGUUGAUCUAGCAUUCUGCAAGUGAAUGAAGUUAAAUAUGUGAUGAAAGCUUUUUAUCCUUUCUUAACUUGCAGAAUGAGUGGUUUUUAUGAUGUUGAGCUUAAAGUCCGGGACUAUGAGCUUGAUCAGUAUGGCGUCGUAAACAAUGCUGUCUAUGCAAGUUAUUGCCAGCACGGUGAGACCUCUAUAUUCGUUCGUACAGUUAACAUUUCUGUAUUUUGAAAGGCUUUUCAUAUAUAUCAACACAGCUUUUGGAACAUGCUUCUUAAUUUGGUGGCUAAAUCUAAACCAUGGUAUCAGGGUUGAUCAUGUUCUCAUGGGAAAUGUAUAGUGUUACACAUUGCCUGUAAAAUGAUCAGCAGCAAUAGAUCACAUCUUUUUAUGUCUUUACCCCAGAUGUGAGUACAUAUCAACAUUCUUGCUUCAACAUUUUGAUUAUGCAGGUCUUUAUGAACUUCUUGAAAGGGUUGGCAUGAGUGCUGAUGCAGUUGCCAGAACCGGUGAAGCAUUCGCGCUGUCAGAAUUGUCUCUGAAAUUCAUUGCGCCUCUAAAAGUAUGUAUUUCAUUUGAAUCUCUCGAGUUUUUUUCUGUCAAUUUUGCAAACAGUACAUUUCUGCUACCACAGAAUGUAAAAUGUGGUGAUUGUGACAACUGAGUCUUGCUUCUUCUACAUGAUUUGUAAAUAGAGUGGAGAUAAGUUUGUCAUAAAGGUCCGGAUGACCAACUCCUCAGCCGCUCGCGUCUACUUUGAUCACUUCAUUUUCAAGCUGCCAAAUCUAGAGGUUUGUCAUUAUCACUCUCUAAUUAUGCUGGCCCUUGACGCCGAGUUACCUACUGAUCAUGGCAUGGUUUCUAAACAGCCUAUCUUGGAAGCCAAGGCCACAGCAGUGUGGCUUGAUAAAGACUAUCGCCCUGUACGUAUUCCAUCUGAGGUGACAUCUAAAUUUGUGCAGUUUCGUCGCCAUAAGGAGUCCAAACACGUCGUGCACAACGGUGUUGGUGCUAGAAGUCUUCGUUUCUAAACCUUUUAAUCUGGUACCAGGAGAACGGAGGCAGAAUAAAAACAGAUUCAUUUCUCAUAAUAAAGUAAAUUAAGAUUGUUGUUAGUAUUAAGAUUAAAGUAGUAUUCCUCAUCAUAUAUACUAGACAUCGCACCCGCUCUUUGCUGCGGGUUUUGGCAAGAGUGUUUUAACAUGAAAGUUUUAUUUUGGGUUUCUUCAGAGAACCAAACUUCAAAUGACAAAAAAAAAAAAAAAAAAAAAAAAAAAAUUACAAAUGAAUCAUAAGAUAACUGCUAAAAUUUAGACAACCAAGAUAUCCACAAAUACAGAUGAUGCUGCAAGAGUGCUUAAGAAAUAGGCUAUUCAAGGCUGACUGGUUACAAUUGCUAGUGGACAGCUUGCAAAAAAGUAGUUGAUUUUGUCCAUUAACACAUGCUAUAAAAGCUGUAUAAGCUUGUACAUAGUUAUGAGGUUGUUCAAAAAGUUUCUUUGCUGAUGAUUUCCAUUGAUGACUUGCUGGUCCAGUUUUGGUGCUUUCCUAUCAUUUUGGAAGAAAGAUAUAGUUAAAUAUUCCAAUAUGCAAAAUCUCUAAACUUUUAUGUAAGCAAAUGUAUUGUAUAUGUGCAGAUCAUCAAUCUAUAAUGCAAAGCGUGCAAUGACAUUUAAUAUGCAGUAUAUGAAUAUAUAGUUUAGCUUAUGCUACAAACAUCAAAUAGCCAAAAAAAAAAAAAACAAUGAUGUGUAUACAUCAGUAUGAAUAAGAUCAGAACUCAAAACAAAACAACAUAAAAUGCAGAAUUUUUGAACUCAUUACUGCUAAUGGUGGUUAACUGAAAUCAAUAUGGCAACACUGAAUACAUAAAACACAAGAUUUCAAUUUAGCAAGUCAGUAUGGCUAUAUGGUACACAUAAAAAGCUGGAUUUCAAAUGAGCAGAAUUUACAGAUAUGAUCCCUAAGAAACAUGAGGGAAGUCCAGUAGCACUGUGUAACAACAACUCAAAACAGAUUUUGAGUUGCCAGCAAUAUGCCUAUUCUUUUUUCUUUUUUUUCUUUUUGAAGGAAAAUAAUAUACCUAUUACACUUGCACUUCUUAAUGGACCAUUAAAAGUUCAACUUUCAGUUUCUGGCAGCUUACUCAAGGUACACGAUGUAAUAAUAAAUAGUAAUAAAUAGUAAAAUGGAAGUAUUCUGGUAUAAUUUCUACUUGUCAUCCAUAUCUAUCAUAAAAACAAAGAUCAUACGAUGAUGAUGUAUAGAGUUUCUAUCUUGUAAGAAUUGGUACCGCACUCUGGUUUAUUUUGUAGUAAAUCAAAAUGAAAAUAUAAACUUUAUGUUGUUCAGGUUUAUUCUUUUGCAUUUGUAUUACCAUCUUUUCUAGUACUUAAAUCCUCUUAAUCUAAUGGAUUUACCCUAUAAAACCCCUUAUGAUCCACUGCUCUGCCCCCCAGCCCCCGCCCCCCCCCCCCUCCUUAUAUAAUCAAUAAUAUUUUAAUGUCCAGAACUAUUUCAUCUGCUCACACCACAUGGAUUCUAAACUAUAUCAACCCCAAGUAAUCCUCUCACUGAAUUAUAGCUCUCUACAAAAUAAUAAUAAAACAUGAAAAGGAAAUUCAAUAUACAUAAUAAGGAAAACAUGAUACUUCGAACUGCAUAAAAAAAAAAAAGAAGAUAAGUACCCAUAUUAAAUGACUCUGAAGGGGUGGAUCAGCAGCUGUAGAAAUCCCCAAAAUCAGCUUAUUGCCAAAAACGUAAACUGAGAGAAGGAAUCAAAGACAAAGACGAAGAGAGAAGAAACCUGAGAGAGAAAGAGAGAACGUCUCUUUUUGGAGGGUCGUCUCUCGUCGUGGAGAGAGAACACAGAGCCACGUAGCAGAAGACUUACAGCUGUCGGCGUUAUCAGCUCACGGCAGCACUGGUAGAUUCUGUAAUUGAGUUAGGGGCAAAACCAGCGUUCGCUAGAGUUUGACUUCAGGAGGUUGCGAGAGGGAAGGCAAGCGGUUGCGAGAGAGAGGAGCUGGUCUCGAAGCUUCUAAGAGGUGGCCGAAGAGAAAAAUUGGGCUACUUUCAACAAACAACAGACUGGAUGGGAAUCUUGAGAUCACAGCGAAAUCUUCAGAUCGGUUUUGAAGCUUCUAAGAGAUGGCUGAAGAGAAAAAAUGAGGCGCAAGAUGAAGAACGAAGCAGGUCCAUUGAGGCCCAAAACUGUUCCGUAUUAACAGUUGCUUGAACAGUAUUUUAAACAAUAAAACAGUGCAACGAAAAAUAGUAUAAUGUUAAUGUUAAAUGCCUCCAUGUGAGACAUAUAAUCUAUGUAACAUUGUUUCAAUAAAGAGCCCAGCAUCUUGUUCAGCGAUCACUAGGCCUCACUGUGAGUCUUACAAUCAAAACCGAGACAAAAGAUACCGAUCUGAAACAAAACAAAACAAAAAACCCACAAUCAUAAUCAAAAGAACGAAAUCAUUGUGGCAACUCAUGAAAUUCAUCAGAAAAAUUUUGGGUUGCUGGAAAAAUAUGUCUGGCUAUGAGCAUGAUAAUACAAUUCGACAUAAGAAUGCAACACCAAUCAGAUACACAGUUUCAAAGCAUCAUCGGAACACUUCACAUGACUAUACACCGCAUCCCAUAAAUACACAGUUUUAGGGCUGUAAAUCUCACCUCUAACUUCCUCCUAAGUAACUCCACUUCCUCAAUCUUCUCAUGUAUCUUACUUUCAUAGUUCGAUAUAGCCUUUUCAUAGGCAGCAUUUUCCUCCUGCAAUGUCACCUCUCUCAACUGGGCCUGUCCACAAUUCCAAACAGGAUCAAUGAAACUCAAUCAGUACCAAAAAACAGGUGAGUUCUGGAAUACUCCGGAGCAUCCAUGCUCCGCGUUUGUCUUGGUUACGUGUCGAUCCUCCAUUAGGUUGUGUAUUUCGUCCGUGUUAGUCUCCUUGAGCACGUGAGUUGCAUAACUCAGUAAGUAUUUCAUCCGCAAUCAAGAGAGGGCAGACAAGUUGGAUGUGGAAGAUCGAUCUAUCUCCCUCUCCUUGAUCUGAUCGGCUUGCUUAAGAGCGGCCGUUUUGAUAUCGUUGGCUAUCUUGGAGGGCAUCGGCGGCGAACUCGCGGGAUCGCUUGAGAUUUUGGCGGCGAACUGGUGAUGGUCUGAUUUCUUGGCUGCUUCUUUGGCGAAGCUAUUGGGUCGUUUCCACAGAUCUUCCAUUGUUUGUCUCUUCAAUUGCAGGACUGAGGGAGAGAAAGAUAACGUGUUGGUGGGUUUGGUAGUGGUGGGUGUGUGCUUUGUGUUGGUGGUGGUUGUUAUUUCCUUCUCUCUCUUUUUUCUUUUUUGUCUGCUUGGAAUCAAAAUCUAGAGAUGGGAAUGACUCCAUGUUGUGACAAGAAUGGGCUGAAGAGAGGUACGUCCAUGGACUCCUGAUGAGGAUGAGAUUCUUGUCAAUUACAUCAACACAAAUAAGGGACAUGGCAGCUGGAUAAUCUCUUCCACAGCAUGCAGGUUUUGUGUGUAAUGCUAGCUACAUGUUCUAUCUGGGUUUUGGUCCAUUGUUAAGGAAUAAGACUUAUCAAAACCGGAUCCAACCCAGAAAACGAAGAAAGAUGACAAAUGGAGGAGAGAUACCCAGACCGAAACUGUGUUUCGCACUACCCAAGUCCUUAGAUCUGAGGAAUAAAACUUAUCAAAAGAAAAAACAAUUAAAACUAAUACCCACGCACCACGCGCCUAGCAAUGGCGUGCUUGCAAUCGACUGGUUAACCGGUUUAUUCACUUUUUACUUCUGUCAGAAAACAAACGCGAAACACGGACGCUCCGGAGCAUUCCAGACGUCUCCCCAAAAACAACCCAAAAUCCCAAACCUUUAACUACAACCACAUCCCCAAACUAACAAAAAUCCAAUCUUUCAAUAACACACGCAACAAUUCCAAUCAGAACCAAAGACCUAGAUAAGAAAGAUCCAAACUUCAACCAAAUAAAGCAACAAUUGUUACAAUUUACAACCAAUUUCAAGAACCCAGAUAGAAAAUUAAGGGCAAUAAAUUUAGUGGAGGGGUGGAUCAGCAGCUGUAGAAAUCCCCAAAAUCAGCUUAUUGCCAAAAACAUAAACUGAGAGAAGGAAUCAAAGACAAAGACGAAGAGAGAAGAAACCUGAGAGAGAAAGAGAUGAAAGAGAGAACAUCUCUUUUUGGAGGAUCGUCUCUCGUCGUGGAGAGAGAACACGGAGCCACGCAACAGAAGACUUACAGCUGUCGACGUUAUCAGCUCAUGGCAGCACUGGUAGAUUCUGUAAUUGAGUCAAGGGCAAAACCUGCGUUUGCUAGAGUUUGAGGUUACGAGAGAGAAGGCAAGAGGUUGCGAUAGAGAGGAGCUGGUCUCGAAGCUUCUAAGAGGUGGCCGAAGAGAAAAAUUGGGCUACUUUCAACAAACAACAGACUGGAUGGGAAUCUUGAGAUCACAGCGAAAUCUUCAGAUCGGUCUUGAAGCUUUUAAGAGAUGGCUGAAGAGAAAAAAUUAAUGAGGCGCAAGAUGAAGAACGAAGCAGUUCCAUUGAGUUCCAAAACUGUUCUGUAUGAACAGUUGCUUGAACAGUAUUUUAAACAGUAAAACAGUGCGACGAAAAAUAGUAUAAUGAGGAAAAUUUUCAAAUGGUGCCUCAAGUUAAGUCCAUUCAUCAUUUUGACACCCCAAUAUUGAAAACUAUGAUACUGGUACCUCAACACUUAAACUCAACUCAACAUUAGUUCCCUCCGUGAUUGACACCGUUAAGUUGGAUUUUGUCCAUGGGCAAAAUUGUCUCUUCAUGUUUUCCUUCCACAAACCUUAUAAGUUGAAUUAGAGUUUCUCGACCUGAAGAUAUCAACUAUGAAUGUGAGUCCUAUUACCUAGUUAUCUAUAUAUGUUUCAUGAACUUCUGUACUUGAUACAAAAUGCAUUUUAAUCAAUAUUGAUUCUUUCUCUCACCGGUGGUUUGCAAAAGCUACUUUUAAUGAUGGAUAUUAAUGACCAAUGGUGUAUUAUAAUUUCUAGAUGUCUCUAAUUUUUGUAUGCAGCCAACAUAUGGCUCACCAUAAAUUUUGAUACAGAUGGAAAAAUGAACAUUAUUUUGGAGGAAAAUGUUUGUGGAGGGAAAAAAAUUUGGUAAGGGAAAACAUGAAAAAACAAUUUUGCCAAUGGAUAAAGUCCAACUUAAUGGUGUCAAUCACGGAAAGAACUAAUGUUAGAUUAGGUUUAAAUGUUGAGGUACCAUUAUCAUAGUUUUCAAAAUUAAGAUGUCAAAAUGAUAAAUAGGCUUAACUUGGGGCACUAUUUGAAAAUUUUUUUCUAAUGUUAUUGUUCAAUGCCUCUAUGUGAGACAGAUAAUCUCUGUAACACUGUUUCAAUAAAGUUCAUGAUUAUCUGGUUAGUGCUCAGAAGUUAUUGGCAUGUGAUCCUUACACGUAGUCUCUGAUCUUUUGGACUAUUACGAUACGUGUGAACUUGGAGGAGUUUGAAGGUCAGUGAGGGAACUUACGUGUUAGGGCGAACAUAAGACAAAUCAAUCUUCAUCGCAACUUUAAUGUUCUAAAAAUGUCACAUCUCGGUUCUUCAGUUAAUUUACGGUUAUUGACUUUUAGGUUACUUUGACCUCACUACCAGGACAAGCACUUUCUGCCCGUUAGCUUAAUUCGUCGGUUAAGAUUUCGUCGGGAAAAGGUUGUCGGCGAUGACUUUAGCCGAUGAAACUAGAAGACGUUGUCGGCUAUAGUCCUAAAGUUUAGCCGAUGAAAAACAUAUCGUCGGUUUUUUCUCAGACUUUAGCCGACGAAACAUUUAAGAUACUCGUCGGCUAAAGUGUUUAAUUAAAAAUUAAAAAUAACUAAAGCCGACGAAAUAUAGUCUGUUUCGUCGGCUUUAGAAGGGUUUAGCCGAUGAAACAUGCCAUAAUUCGUCGGCUAAACCUUAUUUAAAAAAAUUUAAAUACUAUAGCCGAUGAAUUAUUGCGUAUUUCGUCGGCUAUAAGUCCAUUCCAGUAAAAAAAAAACCCGAAAUUUCUAAAUUACCAUUCCAAGCAAGCUGCAAAAUACACCAAAACAAUUCCAUAUAACCAACAACAACAAUAAGCACAUAAAACAAUAUAUAAUUCAUCAACUACACAAAAUCUAGAUCGUCUAAAUUAAUAUCCGCUUCUGGAGGCUGCUGCGGAGGUUGCGGCGGCUGAGGUAGCGGUAUAGCCGGAAGUCCCUGAAGCUGGGCAGCUGUAAAGUCCUGCAUGUACUGAAACAUCUGCUGCUGCUGGGCCUGCUGGAUGGCAUGUAUCUCGGCAACAUAGGCUGCCUGCGCGGCAUUAUAGGCUACCUGCGAGGCAUUAUAGGCUACAUGCGAGGCAUUAUAGGCUACUUACGAGGCAUUAUAGGCAGCCUGAGCAGCUUGUUGUUCCCGUAGUCUCUGAAGUUCUUACUCUAGCUGAGUCGUCCUGGUGGUCGUGGUCGUGGUCCUGCUGCUGGUCGACGCUGCCUUUCAUUGAAAUCCUGGAGUGGUCUUCAGGACCCCCUCGCCCUUCUUUCCUAGACCCCGGCAGUAGAAGUUGUUUGCUCGCGGUGGGAAGGCUGUGCUCAUGAUCCUCGCCCCAACCGUCGGAUCCGAAGUGUCGAUCCAGGACAUGGCUUCGGACAUCUCUUCCUCCUGCGUGUCCGGCCAUGUCUCUCUCACUAUAGCACUCAUCACCUCGUCACUAGCCUCCCUCACCUUCGCCUAAUUGGAUAGGAAAAAAAUUACUAAUUAACAUUUUGACAUAUAUAUAAGUAAAAAAACGUAAGAUAACUUACAAUAUCCUCCUGAACGUUAGGAUAUGCCUUCUCGUACGUAUAGACGUAUUGGUUGACUUCUGGAUGUUCCCUGGCCGCCUCGUCCAUGAAGACAGCGAACGGUCUAGAACCGGCACGAUGGUUCCUUGUGUUGCGUUGCCGGUUCUGAGCGUUCGCCCGGGAAACGGCCUUCAAAGAAAAAAUAAACUAUUAGUAAAAUAUUUAAAAACGCACGUACUUAAUGACAAAAUAACUAAUUAAUUUUUUUAAAUACCUGUUUACGAGAGUUGUUGAAUUCUGAUGUCAGAAGCCAACGCCACUCGUACUCUCUGUACUGGAACUCAACAGGGGUACUAGAACGUGCGUUCCCGUGCGUAGUCUAGUGGGUCCGUAACUCGUUCUUCCACUCCUUGUACAUACAGAUACAACAAACAUAUUAGAAAUAUUAUUAAUAUCACAUACAAUUUUGUUUUUUCAUUAACUUCCCAACGUACCUUCCCCCAUGCACAACGUCCGCCCAGCUGCUCUUCAGGUGCUCGGGAACCUCAAACCACACCUGCAUUUAACCGUUUAUUAGUUUAGUUUUUCGAGAAAUCAACAAUGUAAUACAUAAUAUUAUUGAGGCAUUUUGUAAACUCACCGACAUUGCGUUGUGGACCAUGUCCUUAACCUCCUGCGGGACCUCGCCCCGGUCUGACCACAACAUAGGGAUUUUAUCCCUAAUGAGCGCUCCCACGCUGCCGGGGUACGUCCUCGACUUCCCGCCCGAUACUAUGUCGCCAUCCCCGUCAGUACGGAUGACGAUCCUCCCUGAGGUACCGACGAUCUUCUCGAGAGCCUUCCCUAUGACGGGGCCUCUCUUCUUCUUUGCCGGCUUCGCUCCGACGGUGCCUAUCACAUGAUAAACCUAAUUGAUUAUUAAAAUUGGAGAAUUAUAAGAAAACAAAUCAUUCAUCUUUCAUUACCUGAGGGCGAUGCGGCGGACGCGACGGAUUCCGUCUCUGUCGCCGAUGAUGAUACCCUCGCGGAAAUAAGAGGCAUAUCAAAAGGCACGAACCGGUACGCCGCUGAUGGAGCCAUUGGCGGGGGCAGUGGAUAAAUCGGCGUCUCUGAGCCAUUGACUGCAGGUAAGGCCGGUAUCAUCCGCGGAAGGAACAGAUGAGGCGGCGGCGUUUGUACCUUAGAUGACCCACUAUCCGAAGAAGUAGGACCUGGAGUGGGCGCCCGGUGUAUCUCAGGCAUACGGGGUGCAGACACCUCCGUCUGGGUCUGAGGCCACAACUGCCUCGAGGAAUGAGGAAUGCCCCGCUGUCUCGAUGAAGGGUGCACCUCCGGCUGCCUCUGCACCGUCUGCAGAAGGCUCGCACGUCUGGCUGUCAUGGGGCCUUGAAACGACGUUUGAGGGUUGCUAGAGGUUCCUUCAGACGAUUCGGACCUUUGGCCCUUCAAACCCUUAAUAUUACCGCUCAUCCUGUUUAAAAUAUUAAUUUCAUUCUUAUUUUCAUAUUCGUAACAACACCACAAAAUCAAACAAUGUAAACCCAUUCAAUUAGUCAAAAAAAAAAAAAAAUACACUUCCUAAAUACAAAUUUACACUUCCUAAAUACAAAUAUACACUUCCUAAAUACAAAUAUACACUUCCUAAAUACUAAAUACAAAUAUACACUUCCUAAUAAAUAAAAAUAUACACUUUCUAAAUACAAAUAUACACUUCCUAACAACACCACAACAUUGCAAUUGACCGGAAAAUCAAAGCAAACAUAAAAUACUAAAUACAAAUAUACACUUCCUAACAAUAUCACAACAUUGCAAUUGAUCGGAAAAUCAAAGCAAACACAAAAUGAAAUGUGAAACAGAAAUGUACUCGAGGAGGAGGGAGGGCUAGAGGCUGGAGCAGCAGGAGGAGGAGGGAGGAUCGGAGCAGCAAGAGGAGGAGGGAGGGCUGGAGCAGCAGGAGGAGGAGGUAGGACCGGAGCAGCAGGAGGGGGAGGGAGGGCCGGAGCAGCAGAGGGCGACCGGGAGAGGGAGAGGAGGCGGAGGAGGCAGACCGGGAGAGGGAGAGGGAGAGCAGGCGGAGGAGGCGGAAGAGGAGGUUUUUCUGCUGUCGAGCGCUGGGUGUUCGCCUCUAUACCCGACAACUUUAGCCGACGAAAUUAUUAUUUCAUCGGCUAAAGAUAAUAAUUUCAUCAGCUAAGAUAAUAAUAUUGUCGGUUAAGAUCAAAUUCGUCGGCUAAACCUUUGAAAUUCGUCGGCUAAAUUUUUGAAAUUCGUCGGCUAAACCUUUGAACUUCGUCGGCUAUAGUAUUUUUUAUACAUUUGGCAAAUUGUGAUUGUGAUGAUCAAACUUGAGAAACGAAAAUCCGACCGUCAGAUCUGACCAUCAUGAUAAAAUACAUGUAUGGGAAAAAAUUCAACUUGAUCCGACAAGGUUAAGGGCUCAAUCCGGACGGUCAAUCCGUUAAGUCAAACCCCUAAACGCAUGGAAAAGGUCGUUGGACCGUCUAAAUUUUGUAUUUUGGCCGGACCUUCAACUGAAAAUAGUUUCAAAUCAAUGAGGCGCAACAAGUCGUAUAAAAAUUUUACGCAAAAUAACUACCAAAGAUAGGGCUAUAGUAUGUAAUAGAAAAAUUUUAGGGUUUAGCCGACGAAUACCCUAAUAUAUUCGUCGGCUAUAGUAUGUAAUAAAAAAUAAAAAAAUAAAUAAAGCCGACGAAAUAUUAGGGUAUUCGUCGGCUAAAGUGAUCUUAACUAAUGACUUAUAAUAUAAUUCGUCGGCUAAGAUAGUUUUAGCUGACGAAAUAUACCAUAAUUCGUCGGCUAAGAUGGUUUAGGCCGACGAAUUAUGGUGUAUUUCGUCGGCUAAAGUAUAAAAAUUACAUUAAAAACUGAAGUUUUAAUGUAAACCAUACUCACUUCCUGUUCAUAUAUCACCAAAAUUCAUAUAAAAUAACAGAAAUAUGAAUUCAACAUAUGUAAACUAUAAAGGUAAUACAUUCUUUUUUAUUACAAAUUAAUGUAUUACGUCCUCUAAAUUAAAACUAAGGCUGGUAAUCGGAAUCAUCCAAUGAGUCUUCUUCGGUGUCAGAAUUAAUUUCUGGUAAUCUAUGCAUUUCCUCAUCGCCAGAGUCUUCGUCUGUUUCUUGAUUUGGAUCAACAUCAAUAAGCCUUGGCUCUUCAUCACGAAUUCGCACCGAACGACCCGCUUUAAAAUUAUUAAGGCGAACGGUAGAGGAGUUAGGAAUACCUAUUGCGUUAGGCUCUUGAUACGCAACAUCUUAUUUCUCGUCUUCGGCCUCUCCAAGUGUAGCUGUCCGGUAAAUGUUUCGAGGGUGCACAAGGUUGACUACUUUCCACGUGUCACCCUUAGCAAGGUCAUCAAGAUAAAACACUUGUUUUACCAAUGUGGCAAAAACGAACGAGUCAUUUUCGUAACAACUUGUAGCAGUGUUCACCGAUAAUAUUCCGUACUGAUCGGUCUUCAUGCUCUGCGGCCUAGUAUCAAACCAUCUACACUUGAAGAGGUGCACUGUCAUGCCUUGCCCAUAAACGAGUUCCACCACUGAAUGGAGAACACAGUAAUAGUCAACUCCAUUCUGCCCACCAUGCGCCAUCACCCCAGAAUUCUGUGUUCUCCAUCUGUUGUCUCUCUGUUCACAUAUAAAUUACACGCCAUUCACCUUGCACAUCGGAUAAACUCUUGACAUUAUCGGCUUCAUCGCUAGAAGUCUUAGUUCGUGCGACCAAUUUGGGUGACCAUCAAAUUGAAUAUGGUUAAUCUACAACCAAUCAUUCAACUAUAAAUAUGGAUAAUUAUGCAAUAAAUAGAAAUACGGAGAGAAAUAUUGAAUUACGUACCCAGCCGCUAAAAUAGUUUGCGAACUCCCUGUUAUGGUACUCGACAUCACCUUGAAUGCUUGGAUAAUAUAGAUGGAUGUCUUUCCAGUAUUCAACUUCUGGACAGUUAAUCAAUACCCACCAGUGGGCAAUGACUAGCACUUGUGGUUGCAACUUGUAGGAGUCUAGCAAAAUUCCAUAAACUUUAACAUCACUGGAGAGUAUGGAAAGAUUGAACGUCGGUACAUCUACCGGUAUGGUUUGCGGAGUUUUCUUCAACGCUCCUAAAUACAACUUCAUGUAGGUGACGCACUCGUGCGUAAUAUAUGCUUCAGCUAUACAUCUUUCAGGCGCGGAUUUAUUAGCCACAUAAUAUUUGUAGUCUCCAAGUUGCCUAUAAAUCAAGUUGCAAAGUGUUAUGAUUAUUGAACAUGUAUAUAUAUUGAGGAAUUCAGGUGUAAAAAAUGUACAUUUUCAUGGGAUACAUCCAAGUGUAGUGUACUGGACCGGACCGGUAAGCAACAAUUGCUUGGGAAGAUGGAUCAUCAGGUGAGGCAUGAUGUCAAAAAAAUUUGAAGGAAAUAUCCUCUCAAAUUUACACAUGAUAUAAAUGAUGUCUUCUUGCAUUUCCCGGAGGUUAGAUUUUUUCACUUCCCGUGUGCAUAACUUCUGGAAGAAUCUUGCCAACGCUACUAACUGCUCCACCACCAGAUGGGGAAGGAACAGUCGAAUGAAAACAGGGAAGAGACGUUGUAGCAGGAUAUGACAGUCAUGACUCUUCAACCCGUACAUCUUAUUGUCCCGGAAGUUCACACACCGGGCUAUAUUUCCUGCAUAGCCUGAAGGAUACUUCACACAACUCACCAACUUGAAAAUUACGUUCUUCUGGUCAGGCUUCAAGGUGUAAGGAGCUUGAGGCAUUUUUUUCUUCCCUUCUUUCAACCACAAAUGUCUUCUUAAUUGCAUUUUUUUUAGAUCAAUAUGUGCUUUAGGACCGUCUUUCGCCUUCCCCUCCAAGUUCAGCACUGUGCCCACCACACUGUCGCAAACAUUUUUUUUUAUGUGCAUCACAUCUAGGUAGUGCCUGAUCAACAACUUACUCUAGUAUGAGAGUUCCCAGAAUAUGCUCUUAUGUGUCCAGAAUUUGUAUAUGUCGGGUCUUUCAGGUAUUGCCGCCACAAUAUUGGGAUGAUUGCUGAGUUGCCCAAAAUCGUACUCAUUACGCACUGCUAAAAUUUCUUCCUCUGUCCAUCUUCUGGGAGGCACACCGUUUUCUACGGUCCCAUCAAAUGCCUGUGCAUUGAGCUGCCAUCGUGAUCAUAUGGAAGGAGAGUACGGUGACCCAAUUUGCAUAUCUUGUUACAAUGACUGCUGCUCCCCUCAUCGCUAAGGCACUCUGGACAAGUCUUGUAUCCCCUAACAACGUUGCCCGAAAACAUCCCACGGGUAGGAAAAUCACUGAUGGUACCAGCAACCAUGACAUGCAUCUAGAACAUCUGGUGCAUGUACUUGUCAUAAAUGGGAUGACCAACGUCCCACAAAAACUUAAGCUCUUCAAUCAAAGGUCUCAAAUACACAUCGAGACACUUCUCCCAAAACCCGUUACUCUUCAGAUGCUGCCAUACUUUGUCAAUCGCAAAUCGAUGCAUAUCGCUGCGACACUGACAUUUCGUGCACGGGCAAUAGAAAUUUGUAUUCCCGUUAGCAUUAGCCAGCACAUAUUCCAGAAAACUUAUAACUCCUUUACCAUAUCUUUUGUCCCAUUUUGGAAGCGAAAUCCAACUCUUAUCCAUAUCCUGAAAAUAUAACAAAAUAUAUAUGUAUAACGCUAGCUAAUUAUUAAUUAAAUUCUAUGCCAUAUAUAAAAUUUCAAUUCAUUUAGUAUAUAUUCUACGUACUACAACUAAUUGAUAACAAAUUAAUUAACACAUAUAUAUAUAUAUAUACUUAAUAAUUACAUAACAAUAUUAUAUAUAUCAACAUCAUCACAAAAUACAUCAUCAACAACUUACAUACCAUACAACGACAUAUUAUAAUUAAUUAACUAUAUAUAUAUAUAUAUAUAUAUCUACUACUUAUGAACAACUUCAUAUAUAUUAUCAAAUACAUCAACCAAAUACGAUCAAUAUAUAUAUAUAUAUAUAUAUAUAUACACAUCCAACGUACUCAAAAUCUAUCAUUUGAAUAACACUCAAAAUCGAUCAACUCAAAUAAAACUCAAAAUCAACAUAUAUACACAUGUACGUUAUAUAGCUUCACAAACUAAUUAUGGACAGAUUUCGACAACACCCAAACUUUUUCUCCCGUUUUUUUUCCCAGAUGAGCUGCAGUCCAGAUUUGUGAAUAUAAAGCACUUUAGCCGACAAAAUUUAAAUUUCGUUGGCUAAAGAAUGUUUAAGUCGUCGGCUAUAGUCUGUGAACUUUAGCCGACGAAAUAAAUUCUUUCGCCAACGAAAUUUUUAUUUCGUCGGCUAAAGUUGACCAUAGCCGACGAAAAUAUAAAUUAGCCAACGAAAAAAUGAUUUGUCUGCCUGGUUUUUUUAUUUUCAUCGGCUAAAGCCUUUCUUCUAGUAGUGUCUUUUACUGUUUUGAGUAACCAUUUACUAUUUAAGGCUCUAUCUAAAAGUUGACUUUUUCCUUCGUCUAAAAUUUGGGAAAACUUUCUUCAUGAAAGUCGUAGAGGACGUAAAACAAAGUUCGUUGACACAUGGCACGCUUAAAACGGAGUUCGUAUGAAAAAGUUUUGGUAUAAAAACGAAAGUUACUAUUUCAGUUAGGAGUAUAAAAAAGGAAACAUACCAGAAGAGGUAAGGUAGAAAUUAGAAAGUUAAUUUCUCUCUCUCUCUCUCUCUCUCUCUCUCUCCUCUCCCGCGCCAGUUUCGACCACUAGACUUUAACGCCUCCGUCCGCCGCUGUCCGGCCAAGAAAGGCUGCAAGCUUGGUAUCAAAUGGAAGCUUGGAGCAUCCUCUACAAGUCUAGGUAGAUGGCAGCCAGUGUCGCGCCGCCAUGAAGGAGCACGAUCGCCGGGAAGUCACGGCUGUGCCGCUUAGGUGUUCUCGCCGGAACUCCUUUUUUCGACCACCAAAAUCGGAGCUGUCGGUCUUGUCUUGAAGCUCUCCCUUCCAGCAGCAAACCUCUAAAAGGAUUCGACCUAACUCGAGCUAGGUACGUAGAAUCGAAUGUUUGAAAUUCUAGGGUUUAAAUUGAGAUUUUUUUUAUAUUUGGCUUCGAUUACCCUAGUUAGGCUUGAAAUUGGACUUUGUGGUUGUUAUGAAAGUUGUUUGGAAUGUUGAUAAGAAGAUUGUGUCAAAAUUUGGUAACCAUUAGAGGUCGCCGAAAUUGGGCUGGCCAGUUGCCACUGUUGGCGGAGCAGACGGUGGCGCCGCCACUUAGGGGUAUUUUUCAUGUUUUUGAGUUUGUUUUAAAGAGAGAAGUUUAAUGAUGUGAAGUUUGGAAUUUUUGGAGGAGUUUUGGUUAGGUUUGAGAUUUUUCAAAGAUUGAGAAUUUUGGUGGUUGUUAUAGUGAAAAUCCAGCCGUUGGAUUUCGUUGGUAUUUAUUCUAGAAUGUUAGAAUUGAUGAAUUCAGGUUGUGUUGGAGUUUGGUGUGAAUCCGAUAAGUUUAACCCUAGUAAGAGUAGUGGGUUAAGCGGAAAAGAUUUGGGUGUUUAUAUUCAAGUAUUUAUUUUCCGGAAUUGAAGUUUGGUCCUAAGCAUAUUUAUUGUGUCAGGAUACGAAGAGAACCUCGCUUGAGUGGUGAUGCGGAUAUCGUCGGGCUUAUGCCUAAAUUUGUGAGUGAACAUUUUGGUUUUAAAUAAAUAUGCAUGCAAGAUUUUAUAAUUUAUUAUUUUAUUUUUCGAGCUUAUAUUAUAAUUUCGGUUUAUGAAAUGAUCUUAGAAAGUAUUUGAGUUUGAAGCAUUGAUUAAUUAUGGGUCAUGAUUUAUGGAUUUGAGCUCAGAUUACUAAUUUGGUAUUUGAGUUUGAAUAUUCUUUAAAUUCCGGAUUUCAUUAUGAUUGCUUUAGAUGUGGACUUGAGAUUUAUAAACGAUUUCCGAAAAUGGGAUUUUCGGUAGUUUGCUAUUUAUAAUUUUCGCAUUUAUUGUGGAAUAUCGAUCUUGACCUUGAGAAUAUUUUAGCAAGUAUUUUAGUUUGAGAUAUUAAUUAUGAUUUUUACUUAUUAAUUAAACCUCGCUUAUUUUAUGGCUUUAAGAAUGUUUUGACGUGUGAGACACAUCAUUGAGUUUUAAUAUAAUUUCUUAUGAUGAUGUUCAAGUACGGUUGGGAAUCGUACCAUUCGUAUGAUCUUGGGGAAGUUUAAUAGAUUUAAGUGAUUUCAUAUGUUUUUAGCCACCAUAAUAUAGGGUCGUUUAUAUUUCAUUACUAGCUAGCUUUAUUAGCGAUCCUCACCAUAAGUGAGUCGAGCGCUUAGCGUGAGACGCUACUAUAGCCUGUGAGGCAUCGCUCGCAUAAUAUUAUUUAUUGCAAGCUAGCCUUAUUAGCGGUCCUCAUUAUAGGUGAAUUGAGCGCUUAGCGUGGGACGCUACUAUAGCCUAGGAAGCACCGACCCGAGCCUUUGGAGGCUCCUCUUACAUGGUGAUAACUCUUCCCUUUAUUUUAUUUUUCUCAGUUAUGUAUUUGAUUAACCAGUGGGGCUAGUUUAUCUCUUCUUACUAGAUUUCUUUGUUUGAUUAACCAGCGGGGCUGGUUUGUCCAUUCUAUUGGGUUUCUGGAAUUUAAGUUAUAUGAUUUACGAAAGUUGCGUGUAGCUAAGUUUUUAAAGCUGAACGUGGAAAAGUAUUUAAAUUACGUAUUUUGUUAAAUUGUUUAAUUUAUUUUUGUCCACUCACUCUAACGUUUUUAAAUUACUUUCCCUUGGGCCAUUUGGUUUUAAAUGCCCAAUAUGCAAGAUAAGUUUAAACGAGGUCGAGCGUACAUGGAGUUGAGGCAUAGUCAGAGGUUGCUUCCGCUUAUUCGUUUUCAUUAUUUUUCAUUCAUCAUUAGAUAUUCUCUGAAAGUCCAGUAGUAAAUUAUUAAAUGUUUUUGUUGUUGGUUGUGGGAUGUUUUUAGAUGAGUAAUUGAUAUAUUGGGAGGUGCGAUGAACUUGGGGAGCAUGAAGGCUUCAGGAGUUGAGGAUGGAUGAUUUUUAAUAGAAGUGUUUAUUUGGAAUUUUUCAGGUAAGGGUUGUUCAUUUUUAAGGUAGAUUAUGCUGAAUUUUCGGUAAAUUUUCCUUAGAUGUGGACCCCGCGGGAUUUACUUCUGAUUUCAGGAUGAAAUUCGGGAUGGAUCCUGACAAAAAAAUCAUUAGAACUUACAAGUUAAGCUAGGAGGCAUAGAAAGGCCGUUAAUGGAGCAGCAGGGAGUUGAGAAGAUGAAGCAGAAGGUGAUGGUGGCAAUUGAUGAGAGCGAGCUCAGCCACUACGCCCUUGAAUGGACCCUUGAAAACCUUGGCAACACCAUUCACAAUUCUGAGAUACUCGUCUUCACUGCACAACCCAUCACCAUUGAUUUUGGUUACUCAAACAUCGAUGAAUUUUGCCCGGCAAACGGCAAACCUAUGUUAGAUCUAGGCCCGCUCACCUGCGGGACUAAUUUUUAAGGGAUGGAAAGGGACAGACGGCUAAACGCCGUUCGAUCUUAAUGAACCAAAUCUGACGGCUCAUAUAAACUUUACAAACCUCUCCCUUCUCAUUUUAUGUUCUCUCCCCUCUCUCCGUUGAGUCCAUUCUUUUGGGCUUCUAACUUAUUCAUUCUGGCUCCCUCAAUUUGGUCUUGUUUAAGACUCAUGAAUCAUCAAACAUUCAUUAAUAGUUGGGUUUCAAUCAAGGUUGCCAAAUGAAAUGAAAUCAAAGAUGACAACAACCCCAAUCAUUCGCAUAAGAACAACUACAAAACCCAGAAAACCCAUGAAUCAGUUUGAUUGUAAACAAUGAAUUUGCAAAAUUCAAAUGAUCCCCAUGGUAAACCUUAGAGUCUCUAAACCAACAAGGAAAAGAGAUCGAGAUUUUGCCGGAGAUGCAUGUUCAGCGAGCUAACAUCGUUUCCUCGCCAGCCCGACUUGCAAGCACUUUGUUCUUUAUGUUUAAUUCGAUCACCUCCCUCAUCACCCUUGACAUGUUGCCGGUGAGUCGGUGACAUACUUCCAGAAGAAUAAAGAGAGGAGAGAAGAGAAAACGAGAAAGGGAGAGGCGGAGUCUGAGAAGUUUUGUAAAGUUAUAUGGGCCGUCAGAUUUGGAUCAUUAAGAUCGAACGGCGUUUAACUGUUUGUCCCUUUCUGUCCCUUAAAAUUAGUCCCGUAGGUGAGCGGACCUAAUGUUAGAUCUCUGUGAUAAAUGGAAAUGCCAAAAUGGUACGUAAUUGACAAAACGUUUUCAAUUGUAAGGCUGGCGUAGCCAGAAAACUAAGCUAGGAGGGUCAGAAUUUAACAGUAAUUAAUCUUCUUUUAUUUUUCUCCCUUGUACUUGGGGGCACAUAAUUGUUCAUUCUUUUCGCAUUAGAGAAGUUAGUAUCGCCUAAACACUUACCGGUUUGACUAAAAAUAUAUAUUAUAUUCACGGCAAUUGCUUAUAUUGUAAGACAUUUUCUUAGAUCGUAUGAAAGUAAAAUGUAACAUAAUUAGUGUGAGGGUCAAACUUUAAACUAAUUUUGUAAUACAAGCAUGAAAGUAGUGAUUCUAUCAACCAAUGAUGGAUAAAAUUGAAAGAUGAGAAGGGUCAUUUGAACCCUCUCACUCUCAUGCGGCUACGCCCACUAGGCUGUAGCCAAUGUUCCCCGAGUUCGGCUACACAAAUCAUUAAUGUUGCAUAUGGAAUUAUGAUUCAUAUGUAGCCACUAGUAGAAAAAAAUAAAAGCAAUUCCUAUGCGACGAAAACGAAUAUCGUUGUUGAAAAUACAUUUUUUGUCGCUACAAUUCUCUAAGCUGAAGAAAUAUUUUUGUCGCUUAAGAUUCGUCGCCACAGGUCCUACUAAGGCGACAACAAGGAUUUUGUUGCAAAUUAUUUAUGUAACAACGAAAAUGUAAACACUUAAGUGGCGAAUAAGUUUGUUGCAUUAUAUCAUUCACCUAACCAACAAAUUUACCUUUCGUCGCUUUAGUUUUAGAAUACACGGAAUUUUUUACUCUUGAGCGUCGAAAAUAUUUGUCGCAUGAUAUCCUUAAUGUAAAACUAAAGCGACAGAACUUUUGACUCUUGAGCGACGAAAACUUUUAUCGCAUGAUAUCGGUAUACCAGAAGAAAGGCUUUAGCCGACGAAAAUAAAAAAACCAGGUCGACGAAUUAUUUUUUCGUCAGCUAAUUUAAAAUUUCAUCGGCUAUGGUCAACUUUAGCCGACGACAUUUUAAUUUCGUCGGCUAUAGUCUGUAAACUUUAGCCGACGAAAAAAUAAAAGUUUAGCCGACGAAAUUAAAAUGUCAUCGGCUAAAGUUCCUUAUAUUUGCAGAUCUGGACAGCAGCUCAUCUGGGAAAACAAAACGGGAGAAGAAAAAACGGGAGAAAAAGUUUGGGUGUUGUCGAAAUCUGUCCAUAAUUAGUUUUUGAAGCUAUAUAUAGGUACGUAUAUGUGUAUAUAUGUUAAUUUUGAGUUUUAUUUGAGUUGAUCGAUUUUGAGUGUGAUUGAGUUGAUCGAUUUUGAGUACAUUAGAUGUAUAUAUAUAUUUGUUGACCAAUUUGGUUGAUGAUUUGAUAAUAUAUAUGAAGUUGUUGUUAAUAAGUAGUAGAUAUAUAUAUAUAUAUAUGUUAAUUAAUUUAUAAUAUUGUGUUGAUGGUAUGAAGUUGUUGAUGAUAUAAGUUGAUGAUGAUUUUGUAAUGAUGUUGAUAUAUAAUAUUGUUAUGUAAUUAUUAAGUAUAUAUAUGUGUUAAUUAAUUUGUUAUUAAUUAGUUGUAGUACGUAGAAUACUAAAUGAAUUGAGAUUUUAUAUAUGGAAUUUAAUUAAUAAUUAGCUAGAGUUAUACAUAUAUAUUUUGUUACAUUUUCAGGAUAUGGAUAAGAGUUGGAUUUCGCUUCUAAAAUGGGACAAAAGAUAUGGUAAAGGAGUUAUGAAUUUUCUGGAAUAUGCGCUGGCUAAUGCUAAUGGGAAUACAAUUUUCUAUUGCCCGUGCAUGAAAUGUCAGUAUCACAGCGAUAUGCAUCGAUUUGCGAUUGACAAAGUAUGGCAGCACUUGAAGAGGAACGGGUUUUGGGAGAAGUACACAUGUUGGUUAUAUCACGGUGAAACAUCAUCAGGGGGUCCGUAUGAUCAUGGCCAAUUUUCUGAGACGGGCAGUACAUCCAACAAUCUAACAACGGCCUUCAUCAACGACAUGUUUCCUUAUGAGAGCAGUGUAUGCGCUCAAGGACAAUAUAUGCCUGAGCCGGUGCAGCCCUUCCUUAGAGCUGUCAACACUGUUGGUAUUGACAAGUACAACAAACUGUUUGCUUUCCAACAGACCCCUGUGUACGCCGGUUGUCAGAAGACCAUUCUUGAAAGUGUGAUGGACGUAAUGAAGAUUAAAGUUGAGACAAAAUCGACCGUGAAGGCUGUUGAUGAUUAUCUACAGUACACUGCUUCGAUGCUGCCCCACGGUCAUCAUCUUCCUACCACUCAUCAUAAGAUCCGAUGUAUCCUGAAAGAUCUUGAGCUUUCCAACAUCAAGAUCCAUGCAUGUAGAUAUGACUGCGUUCUCUUCUGCGGUAAAGAUCUAGAAGGGAAUGACCUUGGUGGCCUUGACGCAUGUCCGGUAUGUCACACUGACAGGUAUAAGCUGACUCCUGCAGGCAAUAGGAAACCUGUGAAGGUACUUCGGUAUUUCCCGUUGAGUGAUAGGCUGGAGCGGUUGUACAUGUCUUCACACACUGCCGAAGCUAUGAGAUGGCACGCUGAUAGGGAAUUGCAUGACGAAGAUACCCUUAUACACCUUGCUGACGGGGAGGCUUGGAAGCAUAUAGACAGGGAGUUUCUUCAUUUUGCGUCAGAGGUCCGAAAUGUGAGGCUCAGGCUCUCAUCCGACAGGUUCAACCAUUUUGGCAACAUGAAUCUUCAAUACAGUGUAUGGUCGGUGAUUUUGGUACCGUACAACCUUCCUCCAUAGAUGUGCAUGAAGAAGGAAUACAAUAUGUUGAGUAUGUUCAUUCCGGGGUCCGGUUAUCCAGGGAAGUGUCUCGAUAUGUAUUUGAGACAUUUGAUUGAAGAGCCUAAGUUUUUGUGGGACGUUGGUCAUCCUACUUAUGACAAGUACAUGCACGAGAUGUUCCAGAUGUAUGUCAUGGUUGUUGGUACCAUCAGUGAUUUUCCUGCCCGUGGGAUGUUGUCGGGCAACGUUGUUAGGGGAUACAAGGCUUGUCCAGAGUGCCUUAGCGAUGAGGGGAGCAGCAGUCAUUGCAACAAGAUAUGCAAAUUGGGUCACCGUACUCUCCUUCCAUUUGAUCACGAAUGGCGGUUCGAUGCACAGGCAUUUGAUGGGACCGUAGAAAACGGUGUGCCUCCCAGAAGAUGGACGGGGGAAGAAAUUUUAGCAGUGCUUAAUGAGUACGAUUUUGGGCAGCUCAACAAUCAUCCCAAUAUUGUGGCGCCAAUACCUGAAAGACCCGACAGGUACAAAUUCUGGACACAUAAGAGCAUAUUCUGGGAACUCCCAUACUGGAGUAAGUUAGUAUGGUUUACACCUUCUGUUUUUUUAAUGUAUAUUUUACAAUUUAGCCGAUGAAAUAUACUAUAAUUCGUCGGCUUAAACCAUCUUAGCCGACGAAAUAUACCAUAAUUCGUAGGCUUAAAAAAUCUUAGCCGACGAAAUAUAUAAUAAUUCGUUGGCUUAAAUCAUCUUAGCCGACGAAAUAAGUCAUAAUUCGUCGGCUAAGAUGCCGUUAGCCGACGAAUACCCUAAUAUUUCGUCGGAUAAACCCUAAACCCUAAAUUUUUUAUGACUUGUUGGGUCUCAUCGGUUUGAAACUAUUUUCAGUUGAAGGUCCGGCCAAAAUACGUAAUUUAGAUAGUCCAAUGACCUUUUCCGUGCGUUUAGGGGUUUGACUUAACGGAUUGACCGACCGGAUCGAUCCCUUAACCUUGUCGGAUCAAGUUAAAUUUUUUCUCAUACAUGUAUUUUAUCAUGAUGGUCAGUUCGUUUCUCAAGUUUGAUCAUCACAUUCACAACAUGCCUACUAAUGUUGUAAAACUUGUAUACCAAGUAUUCAAGUAAAUGUUCCGUUUCAAAUACAAAAUAUACGUAAAACCUUCAAACACAAAAAAGUUGUGAAAUAAGAUAUGACCAGAAUGGUGAAAUACGUCUACGGUUGAAAAAUCAUGGUAUUCCGGUAAAGUCUCGGUGCCGAUAGUUGCGGUUAAUGCAAUUUUCCAUUCUUUAUCUCUAUGGAUAGCCCUAUCUUCAGUGGUUAUUUUUCGUAAAAUUUUUAUAUGACUUGUUGGGUCUCAUCGGUUUGAAACUAUUUUCAGUUGAAGGUCCGGCCAAAAUACGUAAUUUAGACAGUCCAAUAACCUUUUCCGUGCGUUUUGGGGUUUGACUUAACGGAUUGACCGACCGGAUCGAGCCCUUAACCUUGUCGGAUCAAGUUGAAUUUUUUCCCAUAUAUGUAUUUUAUCAUGAUGGUCAGAUUUGAAGGUCGGAUUUUCGUUUCUCAAGUUUGAUCAUCACAAUCACAAUGUGCCGAAUGUAUAAAAGUACUUUAGCCGACGAAUUUGAAAGGUGAGACGACGAAUUUCAAAGUUUAGCCGACAAAUUUUAAAGGUUUAGCCGACGAAUUUCAAAUUUUAACCGACGAAUUUCAAAGUUUAGCCGACGGAAUAAAAAUUUCAUCGGCUAAAGUUGUACGGUAUACAGACGAAGACCCAGCGCUCGACAGCCUCCACAGCACGUUUCGAAAACCCUAGCUAGCCUCCUCCGCCUCCCUCUCCCGGUCNNNNNNNNNNNNNNNNNNNNNNNNNNNNNNNNNNNNNNNNNNNNNNNNNNNNNNNNNNNNNNNNNNNNNNNNNNNNNNNNNNNNNNNNNNNNNNNNNNNNNNNNNNNNNNNNNNNNNNNNNNNNNNNNNNNNNNNNNNNNNNNNNNNNNNNNNNNNNNNNNNNNNNNNNNNNNNNNNNNNNNNNNNNNNNNNNNNNNNNNNNNNNNNNNNNNNNNNNNNNNNNNNNNNNNNNNNNNNNNNNNNNNNNNNNNNNNNNNNNNNNNNNNNNNNNNNNNNNNNNNNNNNNNNNNNNNNNNNNNNNNNNNNNNNNNNNNNNNNNNNNNNNNNNNNNNNNNNNNNNNNNNNNNNNNNNNNNNNNNNNNNNNNNNNNNNNNNNNNNNNNNNNNNNNNNNNNNNNNNNNNNNNNNNNNNNNNNNNNNNNNNNNNNNNNNNNNNNNNNNNNNNNNNNNNNNNNNNNNNNNNNNNNNNNNNNNNNNNNNNNNNNNNNNNNNNNNNNNNNNNNNNNNNNNNNNNNNNNNNNNNNNNNNNNNNNNNNNNNNNNNNNNNNNNNNNNNNNNNNNNNNNNNNNNNNNNNNNNNNNNNNNNNNNNNNNNNNNNNNNNNNNNNNNNNNNNNNNNNNNNNNNNNNNNNNNNNNNNNNNNNNNNNNNNNNNNNNNNNNNNNNNNNNNNNNNNNNNNNNNNNNNNNNNNNNNNNNNNNNNNNNNNNNNNNNNNNNNNNNNNNNNNNNNNNNNNNNNNNUAGCCUCGACUACGCCUUAGCCUUUUAAAACAUUGGCCUUGAUUCAAAUUAAUAUUUUAAACAGGAUGAGCGGUAAUUUUAGAUCGACGAAGGGUUCGAAGGGCCAAAGGUCCGAAUCAUCUGAGGGAACCUCUAGCAACCCUCAAACGUUGUUUCGGGGCCCCAUGACAGCCAGACGUGCGACCCUUCUGGAGACGGCGCAGAGGCAGCCGGAGGUGCCCCCUUCAUCGAGGCAGCGGGGCAUCAUCGAGGCAGCGGGGCAUCCCUAAUUCCUCGAGGCAGCUGUGGCCUCAGACCCAGACGGAGGUGUCUGCACCCCGUAUGCCUGAGAUACACCGAGCGCCCACUCCGGAUCCUACUUCUUCGGAUAGUGGGUCAUCUAGGGUACAGAUGCUGCCGCCUCAUAUGUUCCUUCCGCGGAUGAUACCGACCUUACCUGUAGUCGAUGGCUCAUGGACGCCGAUUUAUCCACUGCCCCUGCCAGUGGCUCCAUCAGCGGCGUACCGGUUCGUGCAUUUUGAUACGCCUCUUAUUUCCGCGAGGGUAUCAUCAUCGGCAACAGAGACGAAAUCUGUCGCGUCCGCUGCAUCGCCCUCAGGUAAUGAAAGAUGAAUGAUUUGUUUUCUUAUAAUUAAUAAUAAAGGGUCUCCGAUUUUAAUAAUCAAUUUGGUUUAUCAUGUGAUAGGCACCGUUGGAGCGAAGCCGACAAAGAAGAAGAGAGGCCCCGUCACAGGGAAGGCUCUCGAGAAGACCGUCAGUACCUCAGGGAGGAUCGUCAUCGUUACUGACGGGGAUGGCGACAUAGUAUCGGGCGGGAAGUCGAGAACGUACUCCGGCCGCGUGGGAGCGCUCAUUAGGGAUAAAAUCCCUAUGUUGUGGUCAGACUGGGGCGAGGUCCAGCAGGAGGUUAAGGACAUGGUCCACAACGCAAUGUCGGUGAGUUUACAAGAUGCCUCAAUAAUAUUAUGUAUUACAUUAUUGAUUUCUCGAAAAACUAAACUAAUAAACGGUUAAAUGCAGGUGUGGUUUGAGGUUCCCAAGCACCUGAAGAAUAGUUGGGCGGACGUUGUGCAUGGGGGAAGGUACGUUGGGAAGUUAAUGAAAAAACAAAAUUGUAUGUGAUAUUAAUAAUAUUUCUAAUAUUUUUAUUGUAUCUGUAGGUACAAGGAGUGGAAGAACGAGUUGCGGACCCAUUGGACUACGGACGGGAACGCAUGUUCUGGUACCCCUGCUGAGUUCCAGUACAGGGAGUACGAGUGGCGUUGGCUUCUGACAUCAGAAUUCAACAACCCUCGUAAACAAGUAUUUAAAAAAAUUAAUUAGUUAAUUUGUCAUUAAGUACGUGCGUUUUUAAAUAUUUUACUAAUAGUUUAUUUUUUUCUUUAAAUGUCGUUUCCCUGACGAACGCUCAGAACCGGCACCGCAACACAAGGAACCAUCGUGCCGGUUCUAGACCGUUCGCUGUCUUCAUGGACGAGGCGGUCAGGGAACAUCCAGAAGUCAACCGGUACGUCUAUACGUACUAGAAGACAUAUCCUGACGGCUAGGAGGAUAUUGUAAGUCAUCUUAAGUUUUUAAAUUUUUAAUUUUACUUAUAUAUAUGUCAAAAUGUUAAUUAAUAAUUUUUUCCUAUCCAAUUAGGCGAAGGUGAGGGAGGCUACUAACGAGGUGAUGAGUGCUAUAGUGAGGGAGAGAUGGCCGGACACGCAGGAGGAAGAGAUGUCCGAAGCCAUGUCCUAGAUCAACACUUCGGAUCAGACGGUUGGGGCGAGGAUCAUGGGCACAGCCUUCCCACCGCGAACAAACAACUUCUACUGCCGGGGUCUAGGAAAGAAGGGCGAGGGGGUCCUGAAGACCACUCCAGGAUUUCAACGAAAGGUAGCCUUGACGAGCAACAGGACCACGACCACGACCACGACCACGAGGACGACUCAGCUAGAAUCGGAAGUUCAGUGACUACGGGAACAGCAAGCUGCUCAGGUUGCCUAUAAUGCCGCGCAUGCAGCCUUUGCUGCCGAGAUAUAUGCCAUCCAGCAGGCCCAGCAACAGCAAAUGUUUCAAUACAUGCAGGAGUUUACAGCUGCCUAGCUUCAGGGACUUCCGGCUAUACGGCUACCCUUGCCGCCGCAACCUCCGCAGCAGCCCCCAAAAGCCGAUAUUAAUUUAGACGAUCUAGAUUUUGUGUAGUUGAUGAAUUAUAUAGUUUUAUGUGCUUGUUGUUGGUUAUAUGGAAUUGUUUGGUGUAUUUUGCAGCUUGCUUAGAAUGGUAAUUUAGAAAUUCGGGUUUUUUUUUACUGGAAUGGAUUUAUAGCCGACGAAAUACGCCAUAAUUCGUCGGCUAAAGUAUUUUUAUUUUUAUAAGGUUUAGCCGACGAAUUAUGGAAUGUUUCGUCGGCUAAACCCUUUUAAAGCUGACGAAACAGACUAAAUUUCGUCGGCUUUAGUUAAUUUUUAUUUUUUAUUACAUACUAUAGCCGACGAAUAUAUUAAACGUUUCGUCGGCUAAAGUCUCAGACUACGGUCGACGAAGCAUUUAAAAUAUUCGUCGGCUAAAUUCUGAGAAAAAAACCGACGAUCUCUUUUUCGUCGGCUAAAUUCUGGGACUAAAGCCGACGACGUCUUCUAGUUUCGUCGGGUAAAGUCAUCGCCGAUGACCUUUUCCCGAUGAAAUCUUAGCCGACGAAUUAAGCUAACAGGCCGACGAAACUUUUUCAUCUGCUAAAGUGCUUGUCCUGGUAGUACCUAACCGACAAAUUGAAUUUUCGUUGUCUUAAGUUAACACUAAAGCGACGAAACUUUUGACCGUUGAGCUACGAAAUUAUUUGUCGCAUGAUAUCCUUCACCUAACUGACGAAUUUACUUUUGUUGUUUUAGGUUAGGACUAAAGCGACGGAACGUUUAAUGUAGAGUAACGAAAGUGUUUGUCGCAGGAUAUCCUUCGCCUAAGCGACGUAACUUUUUGACUUUAAUGACGAAGUAUUUUGUAAUACAAAAGUGAAAGUAGUGAUUCUAUCAACCAAUGAUGGAUAAAAUUGAAAAAUGAGAAUGGUCAUUUGAACCCUCUCACUCUCAUGUGGCUACGCCCACUAGGUUGUAGCCAAUGUUCCCCGAGUUCGGCUACACAAAUCAUUAAUGUUGCAUCUAGAAUUAUGAUUCAUAUGUAGCCACUAGUAGAAAAAAAAGGCUUAACCGACGAGUAUUUUCACAUUUCGUCGCUUAAGCAAUUCGUGCUUAAGUAAUUCCUAAGCGACGAAUUGCUUAAGCGACGAAAACGAAUAUCGUUGUUGAAAAUACAUUUUUCGUCGCUAUAAUUCUAUAAGGCGACGAAAUAUUUUUGUCCCUUAAGAUUCGUCGCCACAGGUCCUACUAAGGCGACAACAAGGAUUUUGUCGCAAAUUAUUUAUGUAACAACGAAAAUGUAAACACUUAAGCGACGAAUAAGUUUGUCGCAUUAUAUCCUUCACCUAACCGACAAAUUUACCUUUCGUCGCUUUAGUUUUAGAAUAAAGCGACGGAACUUUUGACUCUUGAGCGACGAAAACUUUUGUCACAUGAUAUCGGUCACCUAACCGACAAAUUGAAUUUUCGUCGUCUUAGGUUAACACUAAAGCGACGAAACUUUUGACCGUUGAGCGACGAAAUUAUUUGUCGCAUGAUAUCCGUCACCUAACCGACGAAUUUACUUUUGUCGUUUUAGGUUAGGACUAAAGCGACUAAACGUUUAGUGUAGAGCGACGAAAGUGUUUGUCGUAGGAUAUCCUUCGCCUAAGCGACGGAACUUUUUGACUUUAGCGACGAAGUAUUUCGUCGCUUAAGUGAAAUCUUCUUUAUAUCCUCUGCAUCACUUCCAGAUCGAAAAACUGGAGGAAAACAGAUCGAGCUACAGUAAAAAAAAAAUCUGCACAGAUCAAUCUUGCAGAUCUCUGGCUUAUUUGAUCAUCCGUACAUGUUCUUCUAAUGCAUUGUACAUCUUCAUCCACUAGUUGUAGUUUGGUACAUGCUUUUUCUCUCUCUUUUCUACCAUUUUUUUCGAUGAGUUUUCCGGUGAAAUAUUCCGGUCAAUUAUUGUUAUUCUUUAUUACUAAUUUUUUUUAGAUAUGUUGGUUUUAUGAUGAAUUUUGGUUACCUAUUGGUUUUCUUGUUUAUAUAUUACAUUUUUUCAUAUUGCUAAAUGUUGAAUUUUGGUAAUAUAUGUUUAUGAGAAUAUUUAGGUUGAUUGUACACGUACCUUUGUGAGAAUAUUGGUAAUAUAUAUGAGAAUUUUGGUAAUAUAUAUUUAUGAGAAUAUUUAGGUUUAUGUUGAAUAUUUUUGAGAAUAUUGGGUAACGGGCCGGUUCAAGGAACAUUAGAUUUAACACUAAUUUUGACACUAUUUCUUAACCAUAGGAUUUUAAAAAAUUCAAUGGUCUAGAUCAAUUUUAAAUAUGAUGUCAACCUACUAAAACUGAUGUGGCAAGUGACGUGGAAUAACCUAAUUUCAUAACAACUCAAAUUACAAGAAAAGAAUGAAAAAUCAAAAUCUAAAAUCUGAAAAUAAAUAUAUAUAUAUAUAUAUGUACGAUAAAAAAAGAAGAAAAAGACGAUACAAGAACAAAACGCAGACGAACGCAGACCUAAGAGAAGAAACAUAGAAUAUAGAGGAGCAAAAGUACCAAAACGCUGAAAGCAUCUUCUCUAACUCCAAGCUCAAUCUUUAUACUUUCACAUAAAUAUGUACACUGGCCGGUUCAAGGAACGUUAGAUUUAAUACUAAUUUUGACACUAUUUCUUAACCAUAGGAUUUUAAAAAAUUCAAUGGUCUAGAUCAAUUUUAAGUAUGAUGUCAACCUACUAAAACUGAUGUGGCAAGUGACGUGGAAUAACCUAAUUUCAUAACAACUUAAAUUACAAGAAAAGAAUGAAAAAUUAAAAUCUAAAAUCUGAAAAUAAAUAUAUAUAUUUAUGUACGAUAAAAAAUAAAAUAAAAAGACGAUACAAGAACAAAACGCAGACGAAUGCAAACCUAAGAGAAGAAACAUAGAAUAUAGAGGAGCAAAAGAACCAAAACGCUGAAAGCAUCUUCUCUAACUCCAAGCUCGAUCUUUAUACUUUCACAUAAAUAUGUACAGGUACUAGCUAGCUAAUCUUGUUUAAAUUGAUUACUUUACUCAUUCUGAGCAAAGUAUAUAUUGUGAUGGUGAUUUUGUUAGCUAGAAAGAUUAACAAAUAGGAUCGUUGGGGGACAACUGCCUUUCCAAAAUUCUCACAUACAUAUGAAUUCUAUCCAUAAUCAUAUGGUCAACCAAGAGUCAGUCUAACGCGUAUUCUAACAUUAGCAUCAUGUUAUGAAUUGUUAUGAAAUCUCACAUACAGUGAUCCUUCGCUAUCCUUUUUUUUUAUCGUAUAGAUUUUGUUUUUUGUUUUUUUCUAGAUUAUAGAUUUUGAUUUUCAUUCUUUUCUUGUAAUUUGAAUUGUUAUGAAAUUAGGUAAUUCCACGUCACUUGCCACAUCAGUUUUAGUAAGUUGACAUCAUACUUAGAAUUGAUCUAGACCAUUGAAUUUUUUAAAAUCCAAAGGUUAAGAAAUAAUGUCAAAAUUAGUGUUAAAUCUAGUGUCUCUUGAACCGGCCCGAUUUGGUAAAAUAUAUUUAUGAGAAUAUUUUGGUAAUAUAUUUUUUUAUAUAUAUUUCAUUUUUUCUGUAUGCAAAUGAUUAUAUGUGUGUUUAUUUGCGCGAUGAAUGUAAGAAUGAUUAUAUUCUUGCAUUCUAGCUACUUACAUGUUUAGCCUUAGAAAUCUCAUUCAAGAAUUAUUUUGUUACAACUUUGUUUGACAAAAUGACUCUUGAAUUGUCCCAUUUUUGGACAGUUUGGGAGAACAUAACUUUGAUUCGCACUGAUUUAUGUUAUGGUGGUUCAGUUUUCCAUAGUGGGUAAUUUUGACAUGGUCUCCCGCUACUGUUCCUCGAGUGCACAUUAGGUAUAGAAAUUGAUGCACUUGAGGAACUGUAGGGAGAUACUGCCGAAAUUUUCCCACAUCGGAUUCGAAACCACCAUAACAUAAAUCAGUGCGAAACAAAGUUAUGUUCUCCUGAAUGGGAUUAAGACCCUAACCGGAGGCAUAAGGUGAUGAAGAAGAAGAAUUGAAUGGAUAUAUGUGCUUAUUUGUUGCCAACAAUGUGCAUUUUUUUUUUCUAUUAUGACAGGCAUGCGGAAAAAAUGGACAAGAGCUGGAUGCAGUACAAUAGGGGACACCCUUUAUAUAUACAGGGGAUCGUAGAUUUUCUGAAAUUUGUACAACUUUACGGUGGUGGAAAGGAAUGGCACAAAUGUCCAUGUAAAAGAUGUUGUUGCGGUAGUUGGGAGACAAUUCAGGGAAUAGAAAAGCAUUUGUCACAUUACGGCAUGGAUCCGUAUUAUACUACAUGGACUGAACACGGUGAAGUGCUAGUUAAUGAUCCUAUAAUGCCCCAUUUCCUACAACUGAUAAAGACUCCUUAUAUAGGAGCAAAUAAACCCUAGGGCAACUAACAUCAAAGCCUAAAAGCCCAUGGAUUAAAAGAAAACCAAAUCCAAAACAAACUAUUAAAAUUAAUGUCUGAAAAUAAGUAAAUCUGCAUUUUGAAGGCCUAAACGGACUCGGAUGGCCUAAAAAGCCCAUACAUUGUGGCAAAGCAACAAGUUUGGUUCGUUGGGCCGUUCCACUUUCAGAAAUGUAUCAUAAUAGUCAAUCGGACACCGAACGCCAAAUCUGGAGUAAACCGGGUUUGGACUUGUUUUUAUCGAUCUGCUCUUCAAUCUCUAUCGCCAUCUAUUCUAUAUCACAUUUUAUGAGUAUUAAUUAGCAGAAAGUGAAAUAUAAAUAAUUUUCCAACUUAAGCGACGAAUUUUGUCAUUUUCGUCGCUUUAAAACGUAUAUUCUUUGGCGGUAAGUCAAAAAUUUAAGCCACUUGGGCGACAAAAAAGAAACAAUUCGUCGUUUUGGCCCAAAUAUUUAGGGGGGCUGCUUUUCACUCCUAAAUUUUGGCCCAAAUUUAAACAAACUUAAGCGACAAAAGCCAUAAGGUAUUCAUCGCUUAAGUUGUUACUAUAUUUUGUUUCAGAACCUUGUUCGAUCCUAAUCGUUUGCUUCCUCCUUACCGGUCUAAAACACCAAAUCCUCUCUCUUUCUCCCAACCUACUGAUCGAAAUCCUCCCUCUUCCUCCUCUUCUUCACUUCGCAUAUCAAUUCAACCACCUCCUAAAUCCCUAAAUAUCACCUCCACCUUCUCCACCACUCACAAAACCCAGCGACAUCCUCCUCUAACUACCUAGAUGCCGGUGCUCGGGAAAAGGAAAGCUCGGGAGGAGGCAGAGGAGCGUUUACGACUGGAGUGUGCGCAACAAUAUGACUCCUCUUCUGCCGGAUCCAACACAGCCACUCCGACGACGACGACGCCUCCAAGAUCCCUUGUUGAAUCGGCUCCCCCUCUAACCGACGACGAUGACGAGUCAACGACCCAAGUAGCAGAAUAAAGAUCGUCUGAGGGUGCACCCAGGGUUGUCAACGCUCACCGGAAACCUAAGAAAAGCGGAGGACCUCCCCAAAAAGGCAACAGGGAUGUAGUGAACAAUGCAAAGGUGUCUGAUAUUAUGAAAAGCACGGGGAAGAAGAUCGACUUGGACUUUGAUUGGGAGGUUCUUGAUGGACCUCGUAAUUCUGAUGUAUGCAGCCUGUUUGUCAAUAGUAUUGGAAGCAUUAUACGAAAAAAAGUGGCAAUGAAGAAGGAAUCGUGGUAUGAUUUAGACAAGGAGGAGAGGAAGAAACUUUUUAACAGUCUCACUGUAAGUUAACUCAUAACUUUCAGUUCUUUUUGUUGGUAUUUUGAUUCCCUGCAUCAUUGCAACUUAAUUAUAACUUGUUUUCUAUGUCUUGCAGUGUUUUUUUAUCAUUGAUUUUAAUGGUAUAAAAGCCAUUAAAUGGAUCAAUAAAAGGGCGACAAGUGUAUUCCAUGAAUGGAAGCACGACUUAUUUGAGAUUCACAAGCUCGGGGGGAGAGAUGUAAUUCUGGAAGAGCUUUUGCACAGGCGGGAUGAGUGGGAGUGGCUUUGCACGCAUUUUGAUUCGGACAAGUACAAGGUAUAAAUCUGGAAAUUCUUUGUGUUAGUUUGCUUUUUAUUUGACUGAUAUGGUUUCAGAGUGUUCCUCAAAACAAUUCACUUUCAUGAUUAUCAAUGUGUUGCUUGAUUUCUAUGUUGAUUGUUAUUCACUUCCUGUUGAAGGUUGUUUGACAUCGCUCUUUAUUUUAUUUCAGUAGCUUCACGUAUAUUGUUUAGUUGAGUGAUAUUGCCUUCAUACGUUUAUGUUGUUCUAUGGACAUCAGCUUAUUAAAGCCAUGGAAUACCAGGUCUUAGUAGAAUACCUUAUUUAACAAAAGACUUGGUUUCUCAAGUUCGAUACUAUCUCCUGUGUAAAUUAGCUUUAAUUUUGUUGUUUGGUUAUAAGUAGUUUUGCUAUGUGUGCUUUCUCUUCUUAUAAUCUUGUUGGGGCGUUUUAUUGAUUCACAGUUGUCACAAGAAAAAAAAGAUGUUGUUACCAUUGUCAACUAGCUCUUGUGAACUUGAAAGAUGCAAUUGAGUUUAUUCUGAUCAUGUAUUCCUUGACUGCUCUCUGUAUAAUUAUUGUUACUGAGUUCUGGUUAUAUGUCUAUUUGGCUGGAGUAUAUAUAUUGAAUUAAGAAGUAUAACAGAUGACCAACUUACAAAGGGAUAGAGAUAGUGUGAUUCUUUGUUUUGUAUUGAUUGUCUAGCUGGCUACUUCUUCUAAAUGAAAAAAAACACUCAAAAUGAAAGCAAAAACCCAUAGAAAAGACAAGAUGACGUAGCCUGGUUUGAUGGUACUGGCUAUAUAAGAUAUGAGCGGACUAGAUGCCCCAUGUUACUAUAUCACAAGCAUUUUUACUUAGGGCAUGCCUAUGAUAGGAAAGAAAGGAACAUAGAAGCUAGAAGGUGCCAAACCCCAUUCUGGUGGAAGAGGCAGAUUGAAUGUCUAAAGGCAAAUUAAAGGCAUAAAAGGCAUAUCCUAAGUAUGCCUUUAAUUUUGUUGUUCUAUUAUAAGUAGUUUUGCUAUGUGUGUUUUCUCUUCUUAUAAUCUUGUUGUUCUAUUUAUUGAUUCACAGUUGUCACACACAAAAAAAUAGAGGUUGUUACCAUUGUCAACUAGCUCUUGUGAACUUGAAAAGAUGCAAAUGAGUUUAUUCUGAUCAUGUAUUACUUAACUGCUCUUUGUAUAAUUAUUGUUACUGAGUUCUGGUUAUAUGCCUACUUGGUUGGAGUAUAUAUAUUGAAUUAAAAAGUAGAACAGAUGACCAACUGACAAAGGGAUAGAGAUAGUGUGAUUCUUUGUUUUGUAUUGAUUGUCUAAUAUGAGGCUGACCUGACUAUUUGUGUACUCACUAAAUUUAAAGGAUAUGGAUCGGUAGCAAUUUUCAAUCUGGGGGUGUCACAAUCAGUUUCUGAAUUUUGAAUUUCUAUAGUUGGUAUGGUUCAGUACUCUUGUUCUUUAAUCAAGGGUGGCUUUAUGGUUUAGUUAUAUAUACAUAUAUGUAUUUGCAUACAGUAGUACAUGAUUGACAAGAGUCACAAGACAUGCUUUCAUGGAGGAGAUAAUGUCCCCAGUUAGGCAUUGUCCUAUGUUCUUUAGAUUGAAAUUUGGAAUUUAUAGGUUGAGUGUCAUAUAGUUGAGAUUUUUGACCGGUUACCUUCUUUAUAAAAACUGUACAAAAUGGUUAGUUGUUUGAACUUGGUGUCUUCAUGAAAGUUAGAGUAGAGACCUUAAUGAUCGUUUCAGAACUGGAAUCUCUUGAAAAUAAGUUUUUUAGAAUUAGUUAUGAUUUUCCAAAGUUACGGCUCAGUUGAAUAUUUUCCUGAAACAUCAAACUAUCCUUGUUUUGUUUUUCCAUCCUAUUUUUAUUUUCCAGUUACACCUUCGACUUGAAAAAAAAAAACAUUUGGGUCAGGGUGUGACAGGUUUCCUGAGGACAAAGUGAUAGUCACCCUGUUUUGAUUAUGCUUCAUUUUUAGGGAGUUAUUUUUACAUCCUGUUUUGAUCAUGUACUUGGUCUUGUGCAAAGACAAUCGGUUGCCAACUCCAGCAACCGUGGUAAGAAGGAGUUGGAGUGCCACUCAGGGAGGAAACCUAUCAUUUACUGCGUGGCCGAGCUUAGGGAUAAGGGUGCUUCAUUACCGGUGGUUGACGUGUACUUGGUGACAUACGACAUCAACCAGCCUAAAGCUGCUGAGCAUUAUAUGAGUAUCAGUACCUAAAAGCUUAAGGAUAAUGGUGUAUAAUAUUGAAAAUAACAAGGUUGUUAGCAUGCAAUUUGUAUUGUAAUCUAUGACAUCUUUAUUGAAUUGGUUAUGCCCUUAUUGAUUCCAAGUUCUUCAAAUUAGUUCAUUAUUUUUCAGCUGUAAUAUUUGAAAUUCUGAAAUUCUGAAAUUCUACAUCAGUUAGCUUUCGUCUGGAAAUUUUUUGAGUUUGUUUACUUUCUAUUUAAUUUGCUGGUAUGGUUUAAGAGUGUUCCUGAAUUCAAUUCACUUUGACCAAAUUGUGAUUUGAUUUGUUAUGCUUGCUAUGGAAGAUUACUCAACUUAGCCUUUAUUUCAGUAGCUUCACAUAUAUUGUUUGCUAGAGUAACAUUGCCUUCAUACGUUUCUGUUGUUCUAUGGACAUCAGCUUAUUAAAGCCAUGAAAUAGUAAUACCAAGUCUUAGUAGAAGGACUGAUUUAACAAAAGACUUGGUUUCUCAAGUUCGAUACUAUCUCCUGUGUAAAUUAGCUUUAAUUUUGCUAAUCUGUUAUAAGCAGUUUUCUUAUGUGUGCUUUUUCUUCUUAUAAUCAUGCUGGGGGUUUUAUUGAAUUCACAGUUGUCACAAAAAGAGAGACUUGGUUAGCUCAUAAAGGAUGAAACUUGUAUAACUCUUUGCUUUUUACUUGAGGUUUCAAUGUUGUUUAAGACACUGAAUAUGCACUUUAAUUUUUGUGCUUAUUGUUAUUCAGUUCCUGUUGAAAGUUAUUUGACAUGGCUUUUUAUUUCAGUAGCUCGAUAUGUAUUGCUUGCUAUAGUGCUCUUCAUAGAUUUCAGAGCACCUUUUUGACAUGGUUCAGUAGCUUUGUCUAGCUCCUGUUAUGUAGGAGUCUUCUCUACUGGCUGCCUAUGCUGUUUCUAUGUUAUUUAGUAUUUAUAUGAUUAUUUUAGUCUCGUAUGUGAAACUUUUGCUCUGAUUUGGUUUUUAUUUUCUUCUGUUUCAUCUAUUCGUAGAAAUUUACAGAUGAGAGAGUCAUCUCUCAAACAAGACUAAAACAUGUCUAGAAUUCAUCUCUAUUAUUUGAUUUUUUUUUUUUUGUUGUCUCUGGUUUUUACUGAAAAGAAUAGCUGACGAGUGACAUGGUUGAAAUGUGUUCCUAAGUUUAGUUUACUUCCAUAGUGAUCAAUUUGUGGUUUCUUUUCUAUGCUAAUGUCACUUGUUGUGGAUUAUUAUUCAAAUCGGUUCUUUAUUUCAGUAGCUGCAUAUUUAUUGAUUGCUAGAAUGGCAUCAGCUGCAUACGUUACAGGGAACCUUAUUGCCAAAGUUGAGUAGCUUUAUCUAGAUCAUGUUCAACGAUAGUCUUGUUUAUUAGCUGCCCAGUUUGUUCUCUUGUGUAUUCUUAAGUUAUUUAGGACCAGUAUGCAUUUGGUAUCUCAACAUUAUAUAUAAUUUGGGUUGUGUAUAUUAUUUUAUAAUUGUAGGAAAAGUUGAAGGAACAGGGUGCUAUUGCCAAGACUUUGCAGAGCACUCAACACCCGGACAUCCCACUAGUUUGGACUGACCAACUCAACUAAGUGUUGUGCAAAACGCUAUGGGAGAAACAAAAGGGUCUUACCUUCGUGGUAUUGGACGAGUAGGCGUCCCAGAGAAGAGCAGAAGGUCAAUAUCUUCCUCGAUCUUCAUGCUCUCGACCGAAUAAUGAGGCGAUAGCAGAGAUAGUGGCUGCUAGAAAGGAGGCAGCUGAGGCACAAGAGAGGGCCGAAAAAGCCCAGAAGAUCACUGAGCAGUUUGCUGUAGAUUAUCAACUGUUGAAGUUGCAAAUAUCAAACCAUGGCUCGAAUAGGGCUACAGCCCAUGUGUUCACCCUCGGUCCCAAGCCAACAACCUCGAGACGACGAUGAUGAUAGGGGCCUUGACACUUCUCCAAUUAGUUUAGGAAAUCAGAAGAUUUUUCUAGUUUAAAUAAUUGUACAAACAAUAUUAGCUAGUAUUUAUUUGGUCGGUACGAUAACUUUAUUAUUAUUAGUAAUAUCAAUAUUUUGGUUAAUUUAUUUUGGUUUUAUAGGAUUUAAUUAUUUACUUACAGAAAUAUAUUUUUGAGUUAUUAUAUCUCUUAAUAAUAAUAAAAAAUUCAAAAAAACUAAAACCUAAGCAACGAAAAUUUUGUCUCUUAAGAUGCUUAUUUUUGUCGCUUACGGGUAAAAAUUAGGCGCCAAAAGUUGACAGGCCAAAAAAGACUUAUGUCGUAUAAGGCCAUAGCGACGAAAACUUUCGUCGCAUUAAAUAUAGUGACGAAAACAAACUCGUCGCUAAACUAAAAAGAUUCGUUGCUUAACAGUAAAACGACAGGAGAACAUACGUCGCUUAACAACUUAAGCGACAAACACUUUUCGUCCCCUCACUUAAUUAUUCGUCGCAUUAAAUCUAGCGACAAAAAAAGGAUCAUCGCUAAACUAAAAAGUUUCGUCGAUUAACAGUAAAACGACAAGAAAACAUACGUCAUUUAACAACUUAGACGAUGAAAAAAGUUUCUCGCUUAAGUUAAUUAUUUGUCGCCUAGGUCUGUGGCGACAUAAACAAUCCUCAUCGCUUGGUUCGUUUUCUUAAUCAACGGAUUAUAUGUUUUUGUCGCUUAAGUACCUAUGAGACGUGUCAUAUGCGACAAAUCUUAAGCGAUGCUGGUUUCGUCGCUUAAGUCGGAAGGCGACAAAAAUGAGCACUUAGCCGACUAUUUGUUCCUGUCGCUUAAGCUUUUAUUUCUACUAGUGAGCUAGCCUAGGUUGGGUAGCGCAAUGGUGGACCUACGAUUUUAGGUUGGGGUGGGCUGAAAUUUUUUUCUUAAAGUUCUUUAAUUUUUUUCUUCUAUAUUUUACAUAUCACAUUUUAGAUUAAAAACAUAUCAAAUAAUCACGUAGUUAACUGAUCAUUAAGAAAUCAAUAUUAUAACAUUUUAUAAAAAUUCGAUAACAAAAGUUAAAGAUAAAAUAACAUACCUGCUCAAAUUGAAUCUUACGCUCUUGAAUAGAAGCAAAAUCUAAUAACUACGCACACAAUCACCGCUCUAACAAUACAAUAAACGAGUGUAUAAUCCUUAAAUCUAACUGGACGGAAAAACACAAUCUAAUAACUAUGAAUCAAACGUUGGUACUAUUACAACUAUAUAUCUACAUAUAUACACAUCAAUAGCAUUAGUCAUCUACAAUAAAGUAAGCAAGCAAGCAAUUGAGAUUAGAAUUAGAAUAUCAAUAGAAAUACAGUGUGAUGGGAUUAUGGGAUAUUGAGACUAUCAAGGCAUUAAUAAAUUGAGAUUUGAGAUGAUGGGAUAUUGGGACUAAAUUUGAUCAAAGCACUAAUCAAUUGAGAUUUGAGAACUAAGUCAUAUGAUACGUACAAGACUCCAAGAAGAUGACCGAUAUAACUAAGAAUCAUACCUGCAGAUUAAAAAGAGAAAGCUUGACACUUUGCUUAGAAUUAGUAAACAAGCAAUUGAGAUUAGAAUUAGAAUAUCAAUAGAAAUACAGUGCGAUGGGAUGAUGGGAUAUUGAGACUAUUAAGGCAUUAAUCAAUUGAGAUUUGAGAUGAUGGGAUAUUGGGACUAAAUUUGAUCAAGGCAUUAAUCAAUUGAGAUUUGAGAACUAGGUCAUAUGACACGUUCAAGACCCUCCAAGAGGAUGACCGAUAUAACUAAGAAUCAUACCUGCAAAUUAAAGAGAGAAAACUUGGCACUUGGCUUAGCUGCUUCGGCAGAAGAGAAUUGAGACGUAUACAAUGACAAAGAAAAAGAAAUAAAGAGAAGAAAGUUGACCUAAAAUAUAAUAAAUGAGCAACUGCUUUUAAUAAAAUAAACAAUAUAUAUGUAAUCAGGUAAAAAAAAAAUCAUAUGGACUAAGUUCAAUUACAUAAAGAAAUUUAGGAUGGACAGGUUUUCAUAAUUUUAUUUUUUUAAUUAUAAAUAUGCAACAAAACAAUAUUUUCUCAAAUCUGUUUGGGGUAGCUUUAGGCCUUUAGCAGUUAGGCGUAUUCAUAGUGCCUGCUGUCCUGUACCGAGUGUACACCUGUUCUUGAUAAAAAGACGUCCUUCUCUGAUAUUCUCCAUACUCUCUACCUUUGCCCGGCAGCAGUCAGCAGCACAGAUGUUGAGGUUGCAGGCAUUUUCAAUUCCCGACUACAAUCCGGUUACCUUUCCCUCUUCAUGCGUCCUUCCUAACUCGCUUCAUCUUCACUGUCAGUCAGUAUCUUUUCCAACCACACGGACGCGUCUCCGGUCACUCCGCAUCGUCAGGAUAUGCAGCACUUCCCUUGCAGGCGAUUUCGGAGGUGGCAUAGGGUACUAUUACUUAAAAUCCUCUAGAAAUGUAUAUGUAAUGGAUAAAGUUCGUAGUUAAAUAUUCAGUUAUAUUCAGUUCUGUUAUUUGGAUUUAUGUUCUUGCUACCCAUGUUAAAGUCAUAAUAUUUGUGCUUGGUGGGUUUUGUUGUACCUUUCUUUUCAUUUCAUUUCCUGCAUUUUGGUGACUGCAACAUUAAGAGGUGAUGAUAGCAUCGGAUACAUGUUGAUCUAGCAUUCUGCAAGUGAAUGAAGUUAAAUAUGUGAUGAAAGCUUUUUAUCCCUUCUUAACUUGCAGAAUGAGUGGUUCUUAUGAUGUUGAGCUUAAAGUCCGGGACUAUGAGCUUGAUCAGUAUGGCGUCGUAAACAAUGCUGUCUAUGCAAGUUAUUGCCAGCACGGUGAGACCUCUAUAUUCGUUCGUACAGUUAACAUUUCUGUAUUUUUAAAGGCUUUUCAUUUAUAUCAACAUAGCUUUUGGAACA